This 358-nucleotide ribosomal RNA is filed under the name Haptophyta environmental samples. Its description in RNAcentral is "SSU rRNA". It matches the Rfam family "Eukaryotic small subunit ribosomal RNA", at positions 595 to 957 of the family's 1831-position model. Lineage: Eukaryota; Haptophyta. The record is from RNAcentral.
UAGCGUAUAUUAAAGUUGUUGCAGUUAGAACGCUCGUAGUCGGAUUUCGGGGCGGGCCGACCGGUCUGCCGAUGGGUACGCACUGGUCGGCGCGUCCUUCCUUCCGGAGACCGUGCCUACUCUUAACUGAGCGGGGGCGGGAGACGGAACGUUUACUUUGAAAAAAUCAGAGUGUUUCAAGCAGGCAGCUCGCUCUUGCAUGGAUUAGCAUGGGAUAAUGAAAUAGGACUUUGGUGCUAUUUUGUUGGUUUCGAACACCGAAGUAAUGAUGAGAAGGGACAGUCAGGGGCACUCGUAUUCCACCGAGAGAGGUGAAAUUCUCAGACCAGUGGAAGACGAACCACUGCGAAAGCAUCUG